This 317-nucleotide long non-coding RNA is filed under the name Phasianus colchicus (ring-necked pheasant). RNAcentral describes it as "lncRNA (ENSPCLG00000010461.1)". Lineage: Eukaryota; Metazoa; Chordata; Aves; Galliformes; Phasianidae. The record is from RNAcentral.
GCUUGUGAAAAUGAAGGAUAGUUGUGCCUGCACUGCAAGAAAGGUGAUUUAGGGCACAGAUCUCAUGACUGCUACCCUGAAAAACCUGCUGUGUGCCAGACCCAUCAGUGUGUGAGGCUGAAUGGUCAUCCUUCUGGUGGAAUGCAACUGUAAACUACUCCAAAAGAAAAACGACAGUAGAUACUAUACAGCAAACAUGACAAGAGUGUGAAUUAGUGGAAUGCUUCCCUCAGGAAACAUAUCCAGGCAGCAGUAAUGGAUAAUAAGUCCAAUGGCUUAUCUCCUACCAGGUAAUAAAGUUACAUAAUAGCAAUACA